Molecule: long non-coding RNA, 2947 nt
Organism: Myotis daubentonii (Daubenton's bat)
Lineage: Eukaryota; Metazoa; Chordata; Mammalia; Chiroptera; Vespertilionidae
Gene: DIRAS2
Exons: 2
Source: RefSeq, a predicted model, not a curated record
AGGGCAAGUGCGUGGUCAUGUGAAUGCCCUCCCGUGUCCCCUGCCACCUCACCUCCCCUCUUCCCCGUGAAACCCGCCGCCGUCAGGGCAGCUCAAGGGCAACCCACAUGUUAACUAUCGCAUUUUGACCGAGACGUGCCCUAUUGUCCUUCAGAGGGCAUUCCGCACACCGACAAUAAGCCCCCCUCCGGAACCAGGGAAUCCGCCAGACGGUUCAACGAAAACCCGCGUGCCCGGCGUGGCAGGGGGCUGAGAGCGCCCGCAGCCUCUGUGGCCUCGUGUGUGUGCCGCCAGGAGUGGAGCGAGGGAGGGAGGGACUGCCCCUGCAUGUGUGUCCAAGCAUGUUCACCUGGGGCUGCGGGUCCACCACAGACCAGCCUUUCCUCUGCUCAGCAGCCGGUGCCGUCCUGGGGGAGGGGGCGGGAGAGGAGGGGAGAAGCCAGGCCAAAGUUGCUUUCUUCAUGGUUCUUUAACUGGACUGAAACCUCAUGCCUCCCCCAGAUGCUCACGCCCGCUGACCUGUGAGCCCCGAGGGGUGCCCCCACCUCCCUGGGCCGCAGGGGGAGGCUCCGGUUCAGCCUUCCAGAGGAUUUCUGUUCACGUGCAGUGCGGGCCCAGGAUGCCUGCCCGGGAGAGCGCUGUGGGGUUUGAGCGUGGACACCGCGACGUACGAACCCCACGGCACUGCUACCCUCGGAGGGUUUCACAUGCGAAGUUUCCUUCCUUUAACCCAGGAGGGGGGCACCCCUGCCAGCCUCAGAGUUUAAACACAAGCGACUCACUUCGCUGUGGUAGGCGUCCUGUCCGCCCGUGGCUGUCUCUGUAGGUGACGGCCGGGGAGGCCAGCGCACAUGGCCUUCUAGGUGGCCCAUCGGGAGUGCACACCUCGCCCCUCACGGAUGUACUUGGGACGGAGAUGCCCCUCAGUACACUGCGUUCCUGGGAAACGCCUCCGAGGAGCACACGUCUCCCGGUCCCAUCAGAAACGCCUCCGAGGAGCAGUGCAGGCAGGGCCCCCUCUCUCUCCUCAUGAUCUGCGUGCGCCCUAGUCCUUCAGCCCGAUCGUGGCCGUGCUGGCCCCUGCCCGGCGGGUGCACGGGGCGGGCGGUGGGGCCGAGGCUGCCGGUCUAGCUCUCUGCCGUCGGAGUCUGGUUUGGCUCUGCUUCCUGAAAAGCCCCACUGAUGGAGCCCAGUGCUCCCGUUGGCUCCCAUCAGCAUAGCCCAGCCCCUGACUCAGUCUCCUCUCAGCAGUCCUCCCGCCGCCCGCCUGGCAGCAGACGUGGCCCCCGCAGCCUGCUGUGGGCAGCAGCGGGCAGAGGUGUCCCGUGUGGGGCGACUGCACCCUCUGGCUCCUCUCCCUGCACCUGCCCCCGGAGCAGGCCUACCUGCAGCACUGGCGCCCCCCCUCCUGCUCUCACCAGACCCUAAGUCAGCCUUCCUGGGGGAUUUCCUCCCGUGGUCUCACCCCCUGUUCUAAUGACUCCCCACCCCCCCUACCCGCCCCGGGGACGGGUCAGUGAGUGUGAGGUGCUCUGAGAACCCAUGGCGCUGACCUCCCACCUGAGCAGGGAGGGUGUGGGAGGGCCUGGGCGGCAGCAGGGCCCAGAGCUGGCCAGGCCUCUUCGUGUCAUCAGGGAUGCCCUCCUGCGGGCUGUCCGGCUCUGGGGCUGUCCCACCGCCGUCACAGGGAGAGCUACUUGGUGGGUUUUUAGGACAGUUGUCUUUCAACCUGUGUCUACCUGUUUUCUGUUUCUAUUCUCAGAGAAAUGCUAUCCAUUUUUAAUGUGGCUCUGGGUCAGGUGGCCAAAGAAGCAGCACUUCCUGGCCAGAAGGGGCCUCGAGGCCUGGGCGGGCUCUGUGCUGGCACGAGCCGGUGUCGCCACGCGGGCCUGCCCCAGCUUCCCGGCGAGCGCCCCUGUCAGCGUCCUCUCCUGCUGACCGUGGGCUUGCUGUUGCCUCCCAGGCCGGGCCGUGGGUUUAGGUGUUCAGGCUUCAUCUCUGUGGGGGACACACGCUGGUUGGAAACCUGGUCUUGUUCCCAGGAAGCCCGCGGGGCCUCAGCCGUGGUCUGUGCUCCGAGGUCCCUGCGGGCGCAGGGAACUGACAGGAGCGCUGCUGCGGCCACCGGCCUCUCAGGGCCCCGUGACUCAGGCUGAGGAGUCACCUCCGUGAGGCCAGGCGGUGUCAGCAACGGCGGGCGGUGGGUUCCGGAGGGUGCGGCCUCCAUUGCACACAGGCAGGAGUGUAGGCCAGACAGUGAGCCAACAGCUCCGGAUGGCGCUCGGCUGCGCUCUGGAAAGAAGCAUGGGCUCCAUGCUUUCCCUCCAUCCCGCCGGCCCUCCCUCCAUCCAGUGACAAGCCAUGGGCGUGCCCUGGGCAUGCAUGCAAUACAGCAAGACCAACCAGAGCAAUAUUGAAUUGUUCAUCAGAUCAAAAUUAUAUAUAUAUAUAUAAACACAUAUACUUUAUCUUCCUGCAUUUUUGAAAUAUAAAGUAGUGCAUUGUACAUAUCCAUAAGCUAGUAUAUUUGUUUCACGGUUUGUAAUGUUUCAGAAUUGCUCAUUCUUUGUAGAACAAACAAUAUAUUAAAUAUUUUAAAAGUUGCUUUGUGAUAAUUUUUUUCAAAAUUUGUAAUGUGUGGCUAUUACAUAAGCUAUCUGGAAAUACCCACAACUCACGGGACACGUAGGCUCUCGAAGCUCCACCCGGGAACGCAGUGCCCACAGAGCACUGUGGGCAGAGCACUGGUAGAGCAUGACUUUUAUACCUGGGGGAUGUCUAUGUGUUUAUUUAUAUUUAAGGUGUAUUUAUUGUUCCAGUUCCAUUAUCCGUCAUAUUUUAAUUACUCUUCAAUUAUAAAAAUCACCCUUGCAUUCAGAUUUCCAGCUGCCAGUGAUGUUCUGAAAAUAAUGAAACAUUAAAAUAAAGCUUUCGUUCUGACACCCUG